Molecule: long non-coding RNA, 325 nt
Organism: Asparagus officinalis (garden asparagus)
Lineage: Eukaryota; Viridiplantae; Streptophyta; Magnoliopsida; Asparagales; Asparagaceae
Exons: 2
Source: RefSeq, a predicted model, not a curated record
UCUCAGAUAUUGGGCAUCUGUUACGAUCACGAAUGAGGCUCAUUGACGAAGGUAUGAUUAAGACCUGGACUUCUUAUUCCACAUGUUUUUCCUUGCUCGAUACUGCAAGCUUCUUGAGGAGAACUCAUUCAGGGGACGGACUGCAGAUUUCUUGUACUCUCUGCUGCCUAUUUACCAUGGGUUAAUAUUUAUUUUUGGUUGUAUUUAAUUAAACAGAUUAAUGCCUGCUACAAAAGCCUUCUUUUUCUAUAUUCCCCCCUGUAUUAGUUGCUAGGAUUUUCUUUGUAGAUUGUCCAAUAUGCUUUUAAUUUAAUAUGUUUAGCCA